This is a long non-coding RNA of Oncorhynchus tshawytscha (Chinook salmon), 1282 nucleotides long. The record is from Ensembl. Lineage: Eukaryota; Metazoa; Chordata; Actinopteri; Salmoniformes; Salmonidae.
AAGAGCGGCAGUGUUGGGGUUUAGCUGUUGUUCUUGUUGUCCUGUAUGAAUGAAACCCGCUGCAGUGGAUAGCUGCCAUUUUACGGGCUCAGGACCAAUUCUGCUAUUUUGUGUGUAUAUAAAAUUUCCGUCAUAAUUUCUUAUGACUGAAAACAGCUUCUGGACAUCAGAACAGCAAUCACUAACCUUGAUUUGGAUGUAGAUUUCGUCUUCAAAGAUUCGGCAGCUCAUUCCAUAAUGCUCAUUCUGGACCAGGCCGUAAUCCGGAAUCAAAAGAGGAAGAGAUGGUAAAAGAUAUGCAAACGAGGGGGGUCCCUGACAAGACUACGUAGAGCUUCUGGACAUCAGAACAGCAAUCACCAAUGUCGAUUUGGAUGAAGAUAUCUAUAGGACACCCCUGACCAGGUCCUAAUCCCCAAGACUCGGAAAAGGAAGAUGUGGCGUAAGACAGGCCGACGUGUGGGCACCUUGAUGAAACUACAUCAAAGACUCAUGAAACAUGGGACCAACACUGUACAUUUUGCCACUGACCCCAGACUGGAGACCUUCGUUGCGGGCCCAGGACUGGGCACCCUCGCUGUGGGCCCCGGACUGGGCACCCUCGUUGCGGGCCCCGGACUGGGCACCCAUGUGUGUCAGGUCAACUCAGUCUGGUGCCUGAUCCACUGCUGUCGACCUCGGCCCGGCACCGGCGAGCCUUAACCUUGGAUCCCCCCCAACCCUCCAGGAGGCGUGUGGAUAGGGGGAGUGGGGCUAAGGCCUGAGGUGUGUGGAGAAAGCAAGGACCUGCCACAUUAUAUGCUUUAACAUGACUGGCAAAUCCACCGCGGUUAAACAAACUUAACCUUCAUUUGUGAAACGGUGCAAAUCAAAGGGCAAAAAAGGACUUGUGCUGGUAAUUACCGCUGGGGGAGAGCAACAGGGGAUUCAAGGAUGGAGGAAGGAGAGAGGUGAGCGCCGGGAGAUAGAGAGGGGAGAAUACAAAAAGAAGGGGAAUCAUUUAAGGAGAAGACGCAUUUGUAAUGAGUUUGCCCAGAAAUGGAUUUUCCGCUGUAAUCUUUUAUUUAUAUGCAGGCUGGUCUCCCUCCCCGGCAGUGUGAGGGUCAGUCCUCUGUGAACCCUGUCAGGACCCCACUCCGUCAAACACCCAAAGACCAGGGAAAAUGGUAUUUUAGCAAAGGCAAACAUUGUCCUGUCUUGGCUUAAGGGGCGAAAUAGCUGUUUAUUUUUAAAAACUUGUUCCCCUCUAUCCAUCAUGCCAGAAAUUCUGUCAGGAGGAAGG